UACGUAGGGGGCUAGCGUUGUCCGGAUUUAUUGGGCGUAAAGAGCGUGUAGGCGGCCAGGGAGGUCCGUUGUGAAAACUCGAGGCUCAACCUCGAGACGCCGAUGGAAACCCCCUGGCUAGAGUCCGGAAGAGGAGAAUGGAAUUCCUGGUGUAGCGGUGAAAUGCGCAGAUAUCAGGAAGAACACCCGUGGCUAAGGCGGUUCUCUAGUACGGUACUGACGCUGAGACGCGAAAGCGUGGGGAGCGAACAGG
This 253-nucleotide ribosomal RNA is filed under the name uncultured bacterium. RNAcentral describes it as "partial 16S ribosomal RNA". It matches the Rfam family "Bacterial small subunit ribosomal RNA", at positions 524 to 776 of the family's 1533-position model. The record is from RNAcentral.